Chrysemys picta bellii (western painted turtle) is the source of this 397-nucleotide non-coding RNA. The record is from RefSeq and is a predicted model, not a curated record. NCBI's taxonomy places the organism in Eukaryota, Metazoa, Chordata, Testudines, Emydidae.
AGUGCAAGAAACAUGCUGGUGGACAAUUGUCAGAGAAGAGUUUUCCCUAAACGUGAACACCUAGUGGUUGACAUAUUCGCCAGCAGGAUGGCUAACUUAGUGAGGAGGGCUUUAAACUAGGUUCACCGGGGGAAGGAGACCAAAGCCCUGAGACAGAAAUAACAGCAAAGUCAGCAGAAUCAAUGAGGAAGACAGGAAUACAAGAAUGGGGGAUACUCAAACAGCAGAAAGAUCCCUACACAUGAUCAGUCAGGAAAGCUCUACCAGGCAAAGAAAUGGUCCAUGUGGGAUGAUAUAGCUUAUUCCACAACCAGCAAAACAUGGAAUCAACUACCUUCUGGGUUCCCAGCAGUUGCUGUCCUACUCCACUCACCUGGGGGAGUGCAAUGAGGGUCGA